This 258-nucleotide ribosomal RNA is filed under the name uncultured Leptotrichia sp. Its description in RNAcentral is "partial 16S ribosomal RNA". It matches the Rfam family "Bacterial small subunit ribosomal RNA", at positions 96 to 354 of the family's 1533-position model. Lineage: Bacteria; Fusobacteriati; Fusobacteriota; Fusobacteriia; Fusobacteriales; Leptotrichiaceae. The record is from RNAcentral.
UGGCGGACGGGUGAGUAACGCGUAAAGAACUUGCCCUUUAGACUGGGAUAACAGAGGGAAACUUCUGAUAAUACUGGAUAAGUUAGUAUAUGCAUGAUAUGCAAAUGAAAGCUACGGCACUAAAGGAGAGCUUUGCGUCCUAUUAGCUAGUUGGUAAGGUAAGAGCUUACCAAGGCGAUGAUAGGUAGCCGGCCUGAGAGGGUGGACGGCCACAAGGGGACUGAGAUACGGCCCUUACUCCUACGGGAGGCAGCAGGU